RNAcentral lists this small RNA (78 nucleotides) under Flavobacterium sp. 81. Its description in RNAcentral is "Flavo-1 RNA". It matches the Rfam family "Flavo-1 RNA". Lineage: Bacteria; Pseudomonadati; Bacteroidota; Flavobacteriia; Flavobacteriales; Flavobacteriaceae. The record is from RNAcentral. RNAcentral also lists the same sequence under 1 other name.
CCCUAGCCCUGAUAGUAGCGGCAUCCUUUUUAUUGCUCCUUUAGCAAUAAAAAGAUAUAGCGGAUAGCGGGAAACAGC